CAGCCGCCGCGGUAAGACAGAGGAUGCAAGCGUUAUCCGGAAUGAUUGGGCGUAAAGCGUCUGUAGGUGGCUUUUAAAGUCCGCCGUCAAAUCCCAGGGCUCAACCCUGGACAGGCGGUGGAAACUACCAAGCUGGAGUACGGUAGGGGCAGAGGGAAUUUCCGGUGGAGCAGUGGAAUGCGUUGAGAUCAGAAAGAACACCAACGGCGAAAGCACUCUGCUGGGCCGACACUGACACUGAGAGACGAAAGCUAGGGGAGCAAAUGGGAUUAGAUACCCCCGUAGUCCCUGUCUCUUAUAA
RNAcentral lists this ribosomal RNA (301 nucleotides) under uncultured bacterium. RNAcentral describes it as "partial 16S ribosomal RNA". It matches the Rfam family "Bacterial small subunit ribosomal RNA", at positions 509 to 809 of the family's 1533-position model. The record is from RNAcentral.